AAGUCGUAACAAGGUUUCCGUAGGUGAACCUGCGGAAGGAUCAUUACAACAAGGUUCCCUGGCCCUCGAAGCUUCGGCGGAGGGGUGCUACAGCCUGACUUUACACCCACCCUUUGCCUAUGUGUACCCCUAUUGCUUCCCUCGGCGGGUUCGCCGCCGACAGGAACCAACUAAACCCUUUGCAUUAUACAUUUAACACUUCCGAUACAAAACUAAAUUAUUACAA
This 226-nucleotide unclassified non-coding RNA is filed under the name plant metagenome. RNAcentral's name for it is "partial contains small subunit ribosomal RNA and internal transcribed spacer 1". The stretch from base 1 to 46 matches the Rfam family "Eukaryotic small subunit ribosomal RNA", at positions 1786 to 1831 of the family's 1831-position model. The record is from RNAcentral.